AACCAUAGAAACCUGCGGAGUACCUGCGGAAGGAUCAUUACAGAGUUGCAAAACUCCCUAAACCAUUGUGAACGUUACCUAAACCGUUGCUUCGGCGGGCGGCCCGGGUCCUUCCCGGCGCCCCUCGGCCCUCGCGGGCGCCCGCCGGAGGUAAACCAAACUAUUGCAUUGUAUGGCCUCUCUGAGUCCUCUGUACUGAAUAAGUCAAAACUUUUAACAACGGAUCUCAGAUCGGAAGAG
Molecule: unclassified non-coding RNA, 240 nt
Filed under: soil metagenome
Description: partial contains 5.8S ribosomal RNA, internal transcribed spacer 2, and large subunit ribosomal RNA
Source: RNAcentral